This 492-nucleotide ribosomal RNA is filed under the name uncultured bacterium. RNAcentral describes it as "bacterial SSU rRNA". It matches the Rfam family "Bacterial small subunit ribosomal RNA", at positions 15 to 507 of the family's 1533-position model. The record is from RNAcentral.
GAUCCUGGCUCAGGAUGAACGCUGGCGGCGUGCUUAACACAUGCAAGUCGAACGAAGCACUUUUUCUUGAUUCUUCGGAUGAAGGAGAUUGUGACUGAGUGGCGGACGGGUGAGUAACGCGUGGGUAACCUGCCUCAUACAGGGGGAUAACAGUUAGAAAUGACUGCUAAUACCGCAUAAGCGCACGGUACCGCAUGGUACAGUGUGAAAAACUCCGGUGGUAUGGGAUGGACCCGCGUCUGAUUAGCUGGUUGGCGGGGUAACGGCCCACCAAGGCGACGAUCAGUAGCCGACCUGAGAGGGUGACCGGCCACAUUGGGACUGAGACACGGCCCAAACUCCUACGGGAGGCAGCAGUGGGGAAUAUUGCACAAUGGGCGAAAGCCUGAUGCAGCGACGCCGCGUGAACGAAGAAGUAUUUCGGUAUGUAAAGUUCUAUCAGCAGGGAAGAUAAUGACGGUACCUGACCAAGAAGCACCGGCUAAAUACGUG